GUGGGGAAUAUUGGACAAUGGGCGAAAGCCUGAUCCAGCCAUGCCGCGUGUGUGAAGAAGGUCUUCGGAUUGUAAAGCACUUUAAGUUGGGAGGAAGGGUAGUAACCUAAUACGUUGCUACUUUGACGUUACCGACAGAAUAAGCACCGGCUAACUUCGUGCCAGCAGCCGCGGUAAUACGAAGGGUGCAAGUGUUAAUCGGAAUUACUGGGCGUAAAGCGCGCGUAGGUGGUUCAGUAAGUUGGAAGUGAAAUCCCCGGGCUCAACCUGGGAACUGCUUGCAAAACUGCUGAGCUAGAGUACGGUAGAGGGUGGUGGAAUGUCCUGUGUAGCGGUGAAAUGCGUAGAUAUAGGAAGGAACACCAGUGGCGAAGGCGACCACCUGGACUGAUACUGACACUGGGGUGCGAAAGCGUGGGGAGCAAACAGGAUUAGAAACCCGUGUAGUCC
Molecule: ribosomal RNA, 450 nt
Filed under: uncultured bacterium
Lineage: Bacteria
Description: partial 16S ribosomal RNA
Rfam family: Bacterial small subunit ribosomal RNA
Source: RNAcentral